GCUGGCGGCGUGCUAACACAUGCAAGUCGAACGGGAAAACAGGGGCAACUCUGUGAGUACAGUGGCGUACGGGUGAGUAACACGUGACUACCUACCCUCGAGUGGGGGAUAACCCCGGGAAACCGGGGCUAAUACCGCAUAACAUCGCAAGAUCAAAGGAGCAAUUCGCUUGAGGAGGGGGUCGCGGCUGAUUAGCUAGUUGGUGAGGUAACGGCCCACCAAGGCGAUGAUCGGUAGCCGGCCUGAGAGGGCGCACGGCCACACUGGAACUGAAACACGGUCCAGACUCCUACGGGAGGCAGCAGUGGGGAAUUUUGCGCAAUGGGGGAAACCCUGACGCAGCAACGCCGCGUGGAGGAUGAAGUCCCUUGGGACGUAAACUCCUUUCGACCCGGACGAUAAUGACGGUACGGGUGGAAGAAGCACCGGCUAACUUCGUGCCAGCAGCCGCGGUAAUACGAGGGGUGCGAGCGUUGUUCGGAAUUAUUGGGCGUAAAGGGCGCGUAGGCGGUGCGGUAAGUCACCUGUGAAAUCUCCCGGCUCAACUGGGAGCUUGCAGGCGAA
This 564-nucleotide ribosomal RNA is filed under the name uncultured bacterium. RNAcentral describes it as "bacterial SSU rRNA". It matches the Rfam family "Bacterial small subunit ribosomal RNA", at positions 35 to 631 of the family's 1533-position model. The record is from RNAcentral.